RNAcentral lists this ribosomal RNA (957 nucleotides) under Amanita rubescens. RNAcentral describes it as "LSU rRNA". It matches the Rfam family "Eukaryotic large subunit ribosomal RNA", at positions 1 to 947 of the family's 3401-position model. The record is from RNAcentral. Lineage: Eukaryota; Fungi; Basidiomycota; Agaricomycetes; Agaricales; Amanitaceae.
GACCUCAAAUCAGGUAGGACUACCCGCUGAACUUAAGCAUAUCAAUAAGCGGAGGAAAAGAAACUAACAAGGAUUCCCUUAGUAACUGCGAGUGAAGAGGGAAAAGCUCAAAUUUAAAAUCUGGCAGUGUUUCACUGUCCGAGUUGUAACCUAGAGAAGUGUAACCUGCGCUGGACCGUGUANAAGUCUCCUGGAAUGGAGCAUCACAGAGGGUGAGAAUCCCGUCUUUGACAUGGACCACCAGUGCAUUGUGGUUGUGCUCUCAACGAGUCGAGUUGUUUGGGAAUGCAGCUCUAAAUGGGUGGUAAAUUCCAUCUAAAGCUAAAUAUUGGCGAGAGACCGAUAGCGAACAAGUACCGUGAGGGAAAGAUGAAAAGAACUUUGGAAAGAGAGUUAAACAGUAUGUGAAAUUGUUGAAAGGGAAACGUUUGAAGUCAGUCGCGUUGGUUGGGGAUCAGCCUGACAUUGUUGGGUUUACUUCCUGGUCGACGGGCCAACAUCAGUUUUGACUGCCAGAAAAAGGCCAAGGGAAUGUGGCACCUUUGGGUGUGUUAUAGCCCUUGGUCGUAUAUGGUGAUUGGGACUGAGGAAAGCAGCGUGCCGAAAGGCCGGGUUUCGACCACGUUCACGCUGAGGAUGUUGGCAUAAUGGCUUUAAGCGACCCGUCUUGAAACACGGACCAAGGAGUCUAACAUGCAUGCGAGUGUUUGGGUGGAAAACCCUUACGCGUAAUGAAAGUGAAAGUUGAGAUCCCUGUCGUGGGGAGCAUCGACGCCCGGACCAGAACUUUUGGGACGGAUCUGCGGUAGAGCACGUAUGUUGGGACCCGAAAGAUGGUGAACUAUGCCUGAAUAGGGUGAAGCCAGAGGAAACUCUGGUGGAGGCUCGUAGCGAUUCUGACGUGCAAAUCGAUCGUCAAAUUUGGGUAUAGGGGCGAAAGACUAAUCGAACCAUUAG